CCCUUAGAUGUUCUGGGCCGCACGCGCGCUACACUGAUGCAUUCAACGAGUCCAACCUUGACCGAGAGGUCCGGGUAAUCUUUGAAACUGCAUCGUGAUGGGGCUAGAUUAUUGCAAUUAUUAAUCUUCAACGAGGAAUGCCUAGUAAGCGUGAUUCAUCAAAUCGCGUUGAUUACGUCCCUGCCCUCUGUACACACCGCCCGUCGCUCCUACCGAUUGAGUGUGUUGGUGAGGAGUUUGGAUUGGCCUCGGAAGGUGGUUCGCCACCGUCCGUAGCUGAGAAGUUCUCCAAACCGCCCCACUUAGAGGAAGGAGAAGUCGUAACA
RNAcentral lists this ribosomal RNA (326 nucleotides) under uncultured eukaryote. Its description in RNAcentral is "partial 18S ribosomal RNA". It matches the Rfam family "Eukaryotic small subunit ribosomal RNA", at positions 1470 to 1796 of the family's 1831-position model. The record is from RNAcentral.